AUCAGUCGGUUCUGUUACCACCAUUUGCAGAGAUGGAAGCCGAAGCUCAGAGUCAUUAGUUAACUGGCUCAAGGUCACACAGCUAGGACUCUGUGUUUCCCUCCAGGCAUGUCAACCACAGCAUCCACGCUCUUAUCCUCAACACCAAUGUCACUGCUCCUGUGUGGGACAGAGGUUCACAGCAUGGCAAUGAGCAAAACCUUUAUGCACAUCCGCAUUCACAUGACUGAGCUACAGAUGGUCAGCCAAAGAAGAUAACGAUGAAAGUUCAAGGUUGCAGAGAGUCAGAGGCACAUAUUAGCUUUAAAGAGAAAGUCAGUACUUUGUAGGGAGGGGCCUUCCUCUGGUCCCAGGGAAAUGGCUCCCAGGCUGUGGUGCAGGAUAGCCGGGCUCUGUGAAAAGGCUGCCUUUUGAAGCAUUUUUCUGAAAGAGGGAUGAUCAAAGCUGAUAUCCUCCACAGGACUUUCCUGGCAGUCCAGAGGUUGGGAAUUAGCCUUCCAGUGCAGAGCAUGGUGGCUCUCUCCCUGGUUGGGGAACUAAGAUCCCACAUGCCUUGGGGCCAAAACAUAAAAACAAAAGCAAUAUUGUAACAAAUUCAAUAAAGAUUUUUAAAAUUAUUCAAAUCAAAAAAAUCUUAAAAAAAAAAAAAAAAAAGCUGACGUCUUUCUUGAAUGAAGCACUCAGAGCCACUGAGAGCCCCACAAUAGCAUCCCUGAGAUGAGUGCUUGUCCACUUCUGUGCUCCCGCUUUAAGAGGAGGGUGGGCAAGGUCAGGUUACUGAGGGUGCAGGUAGAGGGAGGGGCGAGCAGUGGGGACAAUGACUAAUAGUGGGAGCCCUGUAAAAGGGCAGCUGGGAAGAUUGUCACAAGCACAAGCGGGAGACAGGGGGCAGACAUCCAGAGGAAGUGGUUUUCCUGAAGGCUUGCUAAGAGCACCAGAGGUUCUGGGAACACUGAGGACGUCGUGGGAAGCCUCAGGAUUGUGUAUGCACGUGGAGCACUGGUGUGUGAAGUACCCAAACAAGAGGUGAAGGGAUUGCUGUGGACCAAGCGCCCAGGGAAAACAAAGAUUUUAGAUUCGACGUAGCUCAGCUCAAGGAGCCCAGUUCCUGGUGAGAGGAUCUCAGUCCACAUACAGUUCACAAGAGGCACAUCUGCCUGGCGACUUUUACAAACGAACAACUACGUGAAGUGGACGGAGAAGAGGGGUCUGGGGUUGCAUAGGAACACAGCACACUCUCAUUCGACUGCCUCCUGAGGUGGGGUGGGGGAGACACUCCAUCUACUGGUGCUCUGCUCAACAGCAGAACUGGCAAGCCACCCCCAGGGCUGCCAAAACUGGAAGAAAGAUCGUGGGAAGAUGACGCUGCAGCCUCAUGAGACGGGAGAAGCCACAGAAGCAAACCCACCCACCACCACUCCCCCAAGCUGAGUGGGAGAGCAUCGUGGGGAGGGCUGCUCUGACCAUGAACCCAGAGAAGUCUGUCUGUGGUACCCAAGGACAUGCCAUCUCUUUCCUCCCCCAUCUCUCCAUCAAGGUGAAAGCGUGCAUGUGUGCUCAGUUGCUUCAGUCGUGACUGACUCUUUGCGACCCUAUGGAUUGUGG
This 1605-nucleotide long non-coding RNA is filed under the name Bos indicus x Bos taurus (hybrid cattle). RNAcentral describes it as "lncRNA (ENSBIXG00000019418.1)". The record is from RNAcentral. Lineage: Eukaryota; Metazoa; Chordata; Mammalia; Artiodactyla; Bovidae.